This 174-nucleotide ribosomal RNA is filed under the name Giardia duodenalis. RNAcentral's name for it is "Giardia intestinalis partial 18S ribosomal RNA". The record is from RNAcentral. Lineage: Eukaryota; Fornicata; Diplomonadida; Hexamitidae.
GGACGCUCUCCCCAAGGACGAAGCCAUGCAUGCCCGCUCACCCGGGACGCGGCGGACGGCUCAGGACAACGGUUGCACCCCCCGCGGCGGUCCCUGCUAGCCGGACACCGCUGGCAACCCGGCGCCAAGACGUGCGCGCAAGGGCGGGCGCCCGCGGGCGACAACGUGACCCAG